CAGUAGCCGCGGGAAUACGGAGGGUGCAAGCGUUAAUCGGAAUUACUGGGCGUAAAGCGCACGUAGGCGGAUAUUUAAGUCAGGGGUGAAAUCCCAGAGCUCAACUCUGGAACUGCCUUUGAUACUGGGUAUCUUGAGUAUGGAAGAGGUAAGUGGAAUUCCGAGUGUAGAGGUGAAAUUCGUAGAUAUUCGGAGGAACACCAGUGGCGAAGGCGGCUUACUGGUCCAUUACUGACGCUGAGGUGCGAAAGCGUGGGGAGCAAACAGGAUUAGAUACCCGCGUAGUCCCUGUCUCUUAUAC
RNAcentral lists this ribosomal RNA (301 nucleotides) under uncultured bacterium. RNAcentral's name for it is "partial 16S ribosomal RNA". It matches the Rfam family "Bacterial small subunit ribosomal RNA", at positions 509 to 807 of the family's 1533-position model. The record is from RNAcentral.